This 394-nucleotide ribosomal RNA is filed under the name uncultured bacterium. RNAcentral's name for it is "bacterial SSU rRNA". It matches the Rfam family "Bacterial small subunit ribosomal RNA", at positions 8 to 432 of the family's 1533-position model. The record is from RNAcentral.
AGAGUUUGAUCCUGGCUCAGAGCGAACGCUGGCGGCAGGCCUAACACAUGCAAGUCGAGCGCCCCGCAAGGGGAGCGGCAGACGGGAGAGUAACACGUGGGAACGUACCCUUCAGUUCGGAACAACCCAGGGAAACUUGGGCUAAUACCGAAUACGUCCGUAAGGAGAAAGAUUUAUCGCUGAAGGAUCGGCCCGCGUCUGAUUAGCUUGUUGGUGAGGUAACGGCUCACCAAGGCGACGAUCAGUAGCUGGUCUGAGAGGAUGAUCAGCCUCACUGGGACUGAGACACGGCCCAGACUCCUACGGGAGGCAGCAGUGGGGAAUAUUGGACAAUGGGCGCAAGCCUGAUCCAGCCAUGCCGCGUGGGUGAUGAAGGCCCUAGGGUUGUAAAGCC